AGCAUGUGGUUUAAUUCGAAGCACGCGAAGAACCUUACCAAAUCUUGACAUCCUUUGAAAACUCUAGAGAUAGAGCCUUCCCCUUCGGGGGACAAAGUGACAGGUGGUGCAUGGUUGUCGUCAGCUCGUGUCGUGAGAUGUUGGGUUAAGUCCCGCAACGAGCGCAACCCUUAAGCUUAGUUGCCAUCAUUAAGUUGGGCACUCUAGGUUGACUGCCGGUGACAAACCGGAGGAAGGUGGGGAUGACGUCAAAUCAUCAUGCCCCUUAUGAUUUGGGCUACACACGUGCUACAAUGGACAAUACAAAGGGCAGCUAAACCGCGAGGUCAUGCAAAUCCCAUAAAGUUGUUCUCAGUUCGGAUUGUAGUCUGCAACUCGACUACAUGAAGCUGGAAUCGCUAGUAAUCGUAGAUCAGCAUGCUACGGUGAAUACGUUCCCGGGUCUUGUACACACCGCCCGUCACACCACGAGAGUUUGU
Molecule: ribosomal RNA, 479 nt
Filed under: Staphylococcus succinus
Lineage: Bacteria; Bacillati; Bacillota; Bacilli; Caryophanales; Staphylococcaceae
Description: bacterial SSU rRNA
Rfam family: Bacterial small subunit ribosomal RNA
Source: RNAcentral